AUGGCGGUAUGGUCCAUUCCCCUGCCUCUGAAGAUUAGGAUCUUCAUGUGGCAAUGGAUCCGUGGCCGGACCCCGUCCGGCGUGGAGGUCCAUAAGCGCAAUGGUCCGGGCAACAGACUUUGCCCGCUCUGUGGCGUUCUGGAAGACUCGAAUCAUGUUUUCUUCUCCUGUGUGUCCGUCCAAUUUAUUUGGAGUUGCUUUAGAGAGGUGGUUGGUUGCCAUUGGUACCACACCAAUUUCCCAGACAUGUUCACUGAACUUCAGGCCUCCCCCCUGCGCACUCGCCACAAUAGGUGGCUGGACAUUGGGGUCCUCGCCUGGACACUCUGGACGAUCCGUAAUAGACUUGUGAUUCAACGCAUUCUGCUCCAACGUGCUACUGACACUCUCUUCAAACUUUCUGGUUACUUGCAGGUUUGGCGUCCGCUUAGCCGCCCCCAAGAUCGUGAUGCCAUCUCUGCCUUCAUCGCCGACCUUCGCUCGAUGGCAUUCCGCUUAUCGCCGCCGCUUCCUCCACCGCCCCCCGAGCCGAAUUAG
RNAcentral lists this ribosomal RNA (537 nucleotides) under Triticum aestivum (bread wheat). Its description in RNAcentral is "partial small subunit ribosomal RNA". Lineage: Eukaryota; Viridiplantae; Streptophyta; Magnoliopsida; Poales; Poaceae. The record is from RNAcentral.